RNAcentral lists this ribosomal RNA (597 nucleotides) under uncultured bacterium. RNAcentral describes it as "bacterial SSU rRNA". It matches the Rfam family "Bacterial small subunit ribosomal RNA", at positions 897 to 1494 of the family's 1533-position model. The record is from RNAcentral.
AAACUCAAAGGAAUUGACGGGGGCCCGCACAAGCGGUGGAGCAUGUGGUUUAAUUCGACGCAACGCGAAGAACCUUACCUGGGCUCGAAAUGUUGUGGACCGGGGUAGAAAUAUCCCUUCCCCGCAAGGGGCUGCAAUAUAGGUGCUGCAUGGCUGUCGUCAGCUCGUGUCGUGAGAUGUUGGGUUAAGUCCCGCAACGAGCGCAACCCUUAUCUCCAGUUGCCAUCAUUCAGUUGGGCACUCUGGCGAAACCGCCUCGGAUAACGGGGAGGAAGGUGGGGAUGACGUCAAGUCCUCAUGGCCUUUAUGUCCAGGGCUACACACGUGCUACAAUGGCCGGUACAAACCGUCGCAAACCCGCGAGGGGGAGCUAAUCGGAAAAAGCCGGCCUCAGUUCGGAUCGCAGUCUGCAACUCGACUGCGUGAAGCUGGAAUCGCUAGUAAUCGCGGAUCAGAACGCCGCGGUGAAUACGUUCCCGGGCCUUGUACACACCGCCCGUCACAUCACGAAAGUGGGUUGCACUAGAAGCCGGUGCGCUAACCGCAAGGAUGCAGCCGUCCAAGGUGUAAUUCAUGAUUGGGGNGAAGUCGUAACAA